GUCCAUGACGUGCUUGCGCUCUUGGGAAUGCCUGAGAGCAUGUCUGCUUCAGUGCUUCUACUUUCAUUUGCUGCUGCUCUUGUUAUCGGGAGCAGUGUUGCUGCAUGCUUCUGCAAAAGGCACUGGCAUGCUAAGUAUCAAGUUUUGCUUGCUGUUCUGACUGAUCAACAUCUCAUGUCGUUUCAGUUGGCGAAACAAAAGCUGAAGUGUGUUCUUAACACUUCCUAGCAUGAAGUCAGACAAGUGAACCCGCUGAACUUAAGCUAAUGGAUCCCCAGAACAUGAGCAGCAGCAAAUGAAAGUAGAAGCACUGAAGCAGACAUGCUGGCAGACUGGUCUGCAUGCCCGACUCAGCUGCUCCUCGACGCA
This 369-nucleotide ribosomal RNA is filed under the name uncultured Symbiodinium. RNAcentral describes it as "eukaryotic LSU rRNA". The record is from RNAcentral. Lineage: Eukaryota; Dinophyceae; Suessiales; Symbiodiniaceae.